UCUGGUAAUGAUGGCAGAGAGGUCACAACCGUUCCCAUACCGAACACGGAAGUUAAGCUCUCUAGCGCCGAUGGUAGUUGGGACCUUGUCCCUGUGAGAGUAGGACGUUGCCAGGC
Molecule: ribosomal RNA, 116 nt
Filed under: Bacillus thuringiensis serovar kurstaki str. HD-1
Lineage: Bacteria; Bacillati; Bacillota; Bacilli; Caryophanales; Bacillaceae
Source: RNAcentral